GGGAUAUGCAUGGUUGCAGGGCCUCAUGGACGAUGGUAGAGCUGUUCUGAUUGGUGGACUUGAAGAUACCAUCAUAGAAUUUGCAGAUCACCGCUGCUAUUUAGUCUUCUUCAAAACACAGUAUUCCUCUGUCGUCUUCAAUCACAGACAAUCUAUUUCUUGCUUUCUUGCCCUUUGCCAUUGCAUGAAAAUAACUCGUAUUAGAAUCCCCAAGCGUCAACCACAAUUGUCUGCUCCUUUGUUUCCAAAAUUCUUAUUCCUUUACGUACGCUUGUAGUAGAGAUUUGUUGAUUUGGUAUAUGACUUCCUCGUUUUGAGAUGAUUUUGACAUUUCAUUGUCCAGUUGCAUACGCAGUUUCUCAAUUGACUCUCUGCUAUCUUCAUAGUGCUUCUUGCUCCAUUUGCAGAUUGCUCUUCUGCAGUGUGAGAGUUUCUCUUCAACGUGUAGGUGGGGUACACUAUCCCAAACCUUCUUUAUAAGUGCUCUUACCUCCAUGUUAUCUCUCAAACGUCUACCAAAUCUGAAUAUUUUUGUCCCUUUUCUUCUUGUAGUGUCCAUGAAAGAGAGCAAUGGUUUAUGAUCUGUGCCCUCGUACUUAAGGUAUUGGCUUCGGCAUGCUGGAAACAGAUC
This 631-nucleotide long non-coding RNA is filed under the name Brassica napus (rape). Its description in RNAcentral is "long non-coding RNA (BNAP_LNC012421)". Lineage: Eukaryota; Viridiplantae; Streptophyta; Magnoliopsida; Brassicales; Brassicaceae. The record is from RNAcentral.